GCGUGAAGGAUGAANGNNNUAUGGGUCGUAAANUNNUUUUANAUGGGAAUAAAGUUUUCCACGUGUGGAAUUUGUAUGUACCAUAUGAAUAAGGAUCGGCUAACUCCGUGCCAGCAGCCGCGGUAAUACGGAGGAUCCGAGCGUUAUCCGGAUUUAUUGGGUUUAAAGGGAGCGUAGGUGGAUUGUUAAGUCAGUUGUGAAAGUUUGCGGCUCAACCGUAAAAUUGCAGUUGAAACUGGCAGUCUUGAGUACAGUAGAGGUGGGCGGAAUUCGUGGUGUAGCGGUGAAAUGCUUAGAUAUCACGAAGAACUCCGAUUGCGAAGGCAGCUCACUAGACUGUUACUGACACUGAUGCUCGAAAGUGUGGGUAUCAAACAGGAUUAGAUACCCUGGUAGUCCACACAGUAAACGAUGAAUACUCGCUGUUUGCGAUAUACAGUAAGCGGCCAAGCGAAAGCAUUAAGUAUUCCACCUGGGGAGUACGCCGGCAACGGUGAAACUCAAAGGAAUUGACGGGGGCCCGCACAAGCGGAGGAACAUGUGGUUUAAUUCGAUGAUACGCGAGGAACCUUACCCGGGCUUAAAUUGCAACAGAAUAUAUUGGAAACAGUAUAGCCGCAAGGCAGUUGUGAAGGUGCUGCAUGGUUGUCGUCAGCUCGUGCCGUGAGGUGUCGGCUUAAGUGCCAUAACGAGCGCAACCCUUAUCUUUAGUUACUAACAGGUUAUGCUGAGGACUCUAGAGAGACUGCCGUCGUAAGAUGUGAGGAAGGUGGGGAUGACGUCAAAUCAGCACGGCCCUUACGUCCGGGGCUACACACGUGUUACAAUGGGGGGUACAGAAGGCAGCUACCCGGCGACAGGAUGCUAAUCCCAAAAACCUCUCUCAGUUCGGAUCGAAGUCUGCAACCCGACUUCGUGAAGCUGGAUUCGCUAGUAAUCGCGCAUCAGCCAUGGCGCGGUGAAUACGUUCCCGGGCCUUGUACACACCGCCCGUCAAGCCAUGAAAGCCGGGGGUACCUGAAGUACGUAACCGCAAGGAG
RNAcentral lists this ribosomal RNA (1040 nucleotides) under Bacteroides sp. RNAcentral's name for it is "bacterial SSU rRNA". It matches the Rfam family "Bacterial small subunit ribosomal RNA", at positions 399 to 1452 of the family's 1533-position model. Lineage: Bacteria; Pseudomonadati; Bacteroidota; Bacteroidia; Bacteroidales; Bacteroidaceae. The record is from RNAcentral. RNAcentral also lists the same sequence under 2 other names.